This 253-nucleotide ribosomal RNA is filed under the name uncultured bacterium. Its description in RNAcentral is "partial 16S ribosomal RNA". It matches the Rfam family "Bacterial small subunit ribosomal RNA", at positions 524 to 776 of the family's 1533-position model. The record is from RNAcentral.
UACGGGGGGUGCAAGCGUUGCUCGGAAUCACUGGGCGUAAAGCGUCCGCAGGCGGCUUGAUAAGUCGGGUGUGAAAGCCCAGGGCUCAACCCUGGAACUGCAUCCGAAACUGGCAGGCUAGAGUACUAAAGAGGGUCGCGGAAUUCCCGGUGUAGAGGUGAAAUUCGUAGAUAUCGGGAGGAACACCGGUGGCGAAGGCGGCGACCUGGGUAGAUACUGACGCUGAGGUGCGAAAGCGUGGGGAGCAAACAGG